Long non-coding RNA from Etheostoma cragini (Arkansas darter), 1421 nucleotides. RefSeq lists it as uncharacterized. The transcript has 5 exons. NCBI's taxonomy places the organism in Eukaryota, Metazoa, Chordata, Actinopteri, Perciformes, Percidae. The record is from RefSeq and is a predicted model, not a curated record.
CCUUGUGCAUUAUCCUUGACUCUUUCUUGAGUAUGGAGCACAUCAGUCCUACUGGUGCUUGAGACAUGAAGCUAAACAUCAGUAUUUCAAGAAAGUUGCAAGAAUCACCAAUAACUGUGUAAAUAUAUGUCAGACUCUUGCAAAGAGACAUCAGCUCUGUCAGUGCUGAGAUUGGGAGCAUGAAAGUCUCAUCAAAGACUAACACUGACGAGCCAGCGUAAACUUACGGGCUUGUUUGCUGAACUUGGAGACAGUUACUGCCUUGGACAAGAAACUCUGGAAGAGUAAAUACAGCAUCUUGAACUCUGAAGUAUCCAAUCUGAAAUAUCUUCAUUCUGGAUCUUGUACAUGCAGAGCAGACACCCCUGUUUGUGAAAAUGAUUGUGCAUAUUUGGUCAAACUGGAUUCUAGUUGGAAAACUUUUCACAACAACAGCGUUUUCAAGACACCCUUCAUUCAUACCAUACCAAAGACACUGAGGAGCUGUUGAUGUUCAAGGCUGGGGAGAAGUUGGACUUUCAUGCUCUGUAUGCAUACAGAUGUGAUGGUAAAGAAAUCGUAACACUCAUCCAUUGGCCUUUGAAAGAACUUACCAAAGUAAGACAAUGAAGAAGAUGGAUGUACACUAAUGCAGAUGACUGAAAACAAUGAGUGAGCGGCUGUUUCCAAGAAGGAAAGACCAGGUGAAAUUCUUGGGUGGUUUUUAGCAGCUGAAAGGGUAUCCAUCUCACGUGUAGUAAGUGGAACUCACACACACUAAGGUCUGUCCUUAUCAGCUUCCCUUUCUUAAAGGAAAGUUAUGGAUCUGGAUAUGAUACUUUGCAUGAAUCACUAAGACAUUUAAAAAGGAAAGAAGGCCUUUUGUGAAUGACAGUGAGAUCGAAAAAAACGAGACAGAACUACUCAGCACCAAACACUGGCAGAUAAAGAUCAUCUGAUCUUCAACCUGGUGUCCUUCUUAAAAAAGAUACGGAUCCAGUGAGGCCAACAUCCACAAUCACCCUGAGCAGCAUGACAGAAAGCCGCUGAGUGACAGGACAUCAGUAAAUGUUCAGAUGGACAUAUGCAAAAUGAUAGAUGAAAAUGGAGAGGUGGACAUUUCAGCUGCUGUCAGUGGGAUGUUGGCAAUUUGCCAUAUAUACCAUGUUGCCUACCCAAGUCAGCUAAAGAGAACUUUUUCAUUUUUGGAAGCUUUCAUUUGAAAGCUUUGAGAGAAAACUUUAAGAGUCACAAUAGCUGUGCAGAGGGUAGCAAAUGCAAUGGAAAUGUGAAGUGCUUGUGCAAUUUUGCUUUUGUUUGCGGUAUGAUUCUUAAAUAUGGAUUAGCAAAUGUCAGUGGCCCCGACGACGCUCCCUGCUGCUUUUCUCCUGUCUUACGUUUCUAUUUUGCAACUUUUCAGGUCAGUUCCUGAUUCAGUGAAA